Molecule: small nucleolar RNA, 135 nt
Filed under: Peromyscus maniculatus bairdii (prairie deer mouse)
Lineage: Eukaryota; Metazoa; Chordata; Mammalia; Rodentia; Cricetidae
Description: Small nucleolar RNA SNORA70 (ENSPEMG00000027776.1)
Rfam family: Small nucleolar RNA SNORA70
About the family: snoRNA U70 seems to be exclusive to mammals and is a member of the H/ACA class of snoRNA which contain H (ANANNA) and ACA box motifs. H/ACA box snoRNAs are involved in the conversion of uridines to pseudouridines (5-ribosyluracil) a constituent of structural RNAs (transfer, ribosomal, small nuclear, and small nucleolar).
Source: Rfam by way of RNAcentral
UUGCAGCUAACUAAGCCAACCGGGUCUCUUUCCCCAUGGGGGCCUGGUGUGCAAUGGUUGCAAACAGCAGCUUCCUUGGUAGUGUAUGCAGCCUGUUGCCUAUAUAGGUUGCUCUAAGGGACCUUGGAGACAAUU